This 30-nucleotide non-coding RNA is filed under the name Homo sapiens (human). The record is from RNAcentral. Lineage: Eukaryota; Metazoa; Chordata; Mammalia; Primates; Hominidae.
UCCUUCAGCUCGCCCAGAUACUUCUUCAGU